RNAcentral lists this long non-coding RNA (660 nucleotides) under Gallus gallus (chicken). Its description in RNAcentral is "lncRNA (ENSGALG00010019499.1)". Lineage: Eukaryota; Metazoa; Chordata; Aves; Galliformes; Phasianidae. The record is from RNAcentral.
AAAUGUGUGAUUUUGGGGAUAAUGGGGUAUUUUUGAAGAGAUGAAGCAUGAUUUUGGGGUAAAUGCGGGAUUUUGCAAGAGAAAACGCAUGAUUUUUGAGUUAAAUGGGGGAUUUUCUAAGAGAAACUGCAUGAUUUUGGGGUAAAUGCGGGAUUUUCCAAGAGAAAAGGCGAGAUUUUUGAGUGAAAUGGGGGAUUUUCCAAGAGAUAAUGCGUGAUUUUGGGGUUAAAAGGGGAUUUCUGAGGAGGAAAUGUGUGAUUCUUGGGAUAAUGGGGUAUUUUUGGAGAGAAAAUGCGUGAUUUGGGGGGUAAAUGCGGGACUUUGCAAGAGAAAAUGCAUGAUUUGGGGUUUAAAUGGGGGAUUUUCCAAGAGAAAAUGCAUGCUUUGGGGGUUAAAGGGGGAUUUCUGAGGAGAAAAUGUGUGAUUCUUGGGAUAAUGGGGUAUUUUUUGAAGAGAAAAUGCAUGAUUUGGGGGUAAAUGAGUAUUUUCCAAGAGAAAGGGCGAGAUUUUUGUGUGAAAUGGGGGAUAUUCCAAGAGAAAUUGCGUGAUUUGGGGGUUAAAUGGAGGAUUGUUGAAGAGACAAAGCAUGAUUUUGGGGUGAAGGGGGGGAUUUUUGAAGAGAAAACACGUAAUUUUUGGUUUAAACAGCUAUUUUUGAAG